GACGAACGCUGGCGGCGUGCUUAACACAUGCAAGUCGAACGGAAAGGCCCUGCUUUUGUGGGGUGCUCGAGUGGCGAACGGGUGAGUAACACGUGAGUAACCUGCCCUUGACUUUGGGAUAACUUCAGGAAGCUGGGGCUAAUACCGGAUAGGAGCUCCUGCUGCAUGGUGGGGGUUGGAAAGUUUCGGCGGUUGGGGAUGGACUCGCGGCUUAUCAGCUUGUUGGUGGGGUAGUGGCUUACCAAGGCUUUGACGGGUAGCCGGCCUGAGAGGGUGACCGGCCACAUUGGGACUGAGAUGCGGCCAGGACGCCUACGGGAGGCAGCAGUGGGGAAUAUUGCACAAUGGGCGGAAGCCUGCUGCAGCAACGCCGCGUGCGGGAUGACGGCCUUCGGGUUGUAAACCGCUUUCGCCUGUGACGAAGCGUGAGGGACGGUAAUGAGUAAAGAAGCACCGGCAAACUACGU
Molecule: ribosomal RNA, 467 nt
Filed under: uncultured bacterium
Lineage: Bacteria
Description: partial 16S ribosomal RNA
Rfam family: Bacterial small subunit ribosomal RNA
Source: RNAcentral